This 1920-nucleotide long non-coding RNA is filed under the name Homo sapiens (human). RNAcentral describes it as "long non-coding RNA NONHSAT203878.1". The record is from RNAcentral. Lineage: Eukaryota; Metazoa; Chordata; Mammalia; Primates; Hominidae.
GUCAUCGCCCGGGGUGACAAAGAUUUCCCCCCGGCGGCUGCGCAGGUGGCUCACCAGAAGCCGCAUGCCUCCAUGGACAAGCAUCCUUCCCCAAGAACCCAGCACAUCCAGCAGCCACGCAAGUGAGCCUGGAGUCCACCAGCCUGCCCCAUGGCCCCGGCUCUGCUGCACUUGGUAUUUCCCUGACAGAGAGAACCAGCAGUUUCGCCCAAAUCCUACUCUGCUGGGAAAUCUAAGGCAAAACCAAGUGCUCUGUCCUUUGCCUUACAUUUCCAUAUUUAAAACUAGAAACAGCUCCAGCCCAAACCUUGUUUAUGGGGAGUCUGGUUGGAUGUCAUUUGAGGAUCAUUGUGCCCCUAGAGGUGCCAUUAGCAGAAUUUGCCAAGAUCCGAGAAAAAUUUUAGCUUUAGUUCUAUUUCAGCAGUCACCUGACGUCCUUGUCUAUGGUCUUAAAAACAAGAAGGCACACAUUUGAGAAGAUGAGAUUAAGGUUAGGAGAAAACCUCAGUCAUUGCAUGCUUUUUAGUAUGGGCCAAUAAAAUCUCAACACCUGUGGGAGAGUAAGAACUAAGGGAAUGAGUUUGGGCGGCCCCUCAUAAAGGACCUUAGAGGCAGGGAACAGCAAUGCCAAAUUUCCCUCUCUCGUGAGAUGGGGGAUCCUGUGCAGGCUGAUGAGGCACCCAUGAGAAAAGCCGAAAAAGCAUGCAUCUUAGAAAUAGCCCCUCAAUUCCAGGAGUCAACAUGCCAAAGAAUGAGGCUGGAGACAGGUAGCUCCGAGGGAGGACUUCUGGCAUGAGAUCUCGGCACGGCAAGCCCAGCAUCGCCUCAGCCCAGACAGGCUCCACCAGGAGAUCAAGCAAGGGCUGCCUUUCAGGAGUCACCUCCUGAGCCACUUCAGAGUUCUGGAAGUGACCACGGACCAGGGUGGAGGAAUAGACUUCUAGUUCAUUCUGGGACACUUGAGCCAGAGAGUUGAAAGCUUGGAAAGACCAGAUAAGAAACCUGCCCUUUGUCUCCCUAGGGACAUGAGACACCACAUUCCAUUUGUGCUAGAAAAACCUAUCCACUGAUGAGUCUAACUGUUCCAAACGCCUCCCACCUGGUGUGCACAGCUGCCUGGGUCCAUUGUCACUUGGGUGCAUCAGGUUGUCCUCCGAUUUUUAGAUGAGUUUCCUGUCUAGAGAUGUCCUAGUCUGCUCACUGGCUGGUGGCAGUAGGGUACCCUGCGUCCUCGAAAAGCCAGAGGGUUCACCUAGUCAGACGAAACUCCAGAACAGUGCUUGUGGAGGGCCUGACUGUCCUGCUCACCCACAGCCGAUCUGCUGCAGGUCAGCAACUGUGUCGUGAGCAGCUGCCAACCACCAGCCUUUCUGGUGCUGUUCUCCAGUUCACGUCUGCCAGCUGGUGAGGGCAGAGGCAGACCUGGUCAGACCCAGCGCCCCUCCUCCCUGAGGGAGCAUGGCACAGCCUCACACUUGAAAGACGGUGUUUGGUUUCCCAUCUAAUCAACUUAAGGGAAGCCGGCAUGUACCCUUCAAGGCCCUGUCACCACCUAUUUCCUGAUCAGUUGGUAUAAACUGAGGGUGGCUUUUAGAGACCCAGACUUGGUUGGCAGCGCUGCCAUGGAACACCCCAGCAAGCACCUCCCAGCCUGCCUUUCGGAGCAGCACCCAGGAGGGGAUGCCGCGCUCCAGCAACACCAGGUCAGGCCUGUGCAGACCCCUGCCCUGCCGCUGCAGAAAUCCAGAAGCAUCCUUAAUGCUUCUCAGUCUUCAGCCAGAGGGAGGGCUGUUAUUUCCAGAGGUGCGCUUUUUAUGUACUUUUAGCUAGAUGUGGCAUGCAUCUGUGAGCUUUAGAUCAUUAAAUCCAAAAUGUUUGCCUAAAUGAGUUUAUCAGUUGUUAACUUCAAGAAUAUUAAAU